GAGCGCACCCUCGCCUUUAGUUGCCAUCACGUCUGGGUGGGCACUCUAAAGGAACUGCCGGUGACAAGCCGGAGGAAGGUGGGGAUGACGUCAAGUCCUCAUGGCCCUUAUGUCCUGGGCUACACACGUGCUACAAUGGCGGUGACAGUGGGAAGCCAGGUAGCGAUACCGAGCCGAUCUCAAAAAGCCGUCUCAGUUCGGAUUGCACUCUGCAACUCGAGUGCAUGAAGGUGGAAUCGCUAGUAAUCGCGGAUCAGCAUGCCGCGGUGAAUACGUUCCCGGGA
This 284-nucleotide ribosomal RNA is filed under the name uncultured bacterium. Its description in RNAcentral is "partial 16S ribosomal RNA". It matches the Rfam family "Bacterial small subunit ribosomal RNA", at positions 1094 to 1378 of the family's 1533-position model. The record is from RNAcentral.